AUUGAACGCUGGCGGCAGGCCUAACACAUGCAAGUCGAACGGUAACAGGAAGAAGCUUGCUUCUUUGCUGACGAGUGGCGGACGGGUGAGUAAUGUCUGGGAAACUGCCUGAUGGAGGGGGAUAACUACUGGAAACGGUAGCUAAUACCGCAUAACGUCGCAAGACCAAAGAGGGGGAGCUUCGGGCCUCUUGCCAUCGGAUGUGCCCAGAUGGGAUUAGCUAGUAGGUGGGGUAACGGCUCACCUAGGCGACGAUCCCUAGCUGGUCUGAGAGGAUGACCAGCCACACUGGAACUGAGACACGGUCCAGACUCCUACGGGAGGCAGCAGUGGGGAAUAUUGCGCAAUGGGCGCAAGCCUGAUGCAGCCAUGCCGCGUGUAUGAAGAAGGCCUUCGGGUUGUAAAGUACUUUCAGCGGGGAGGAAGGGAGUAAAGUUAAUACCUGUGCUCAUUGACGUUACCCGCAGAAGAAGCACCGGCUAACUCCGUG
RNAcentral lists this ribosomal RNA (490 nucleotides) under uncultured bacterium. Its description in RNAcentral is "partial 16S ribosomal RNA". It matches the Rfam family "Bacterial small subunit ribosomal RNA", at positions 30 to 507 of the family's 1533-position model. The record is from RNAcentral.